UACAGAGGGUGCAAGGGUUCAUCGGAAUUACUGGGCGUAAAGCGCGCGUAGGCGGUCGGGUCAGUCGGUUGUGAAAUCCCCGGGCUUAACCUGGGAAUUGCAGUCGAUACUGCCCGGCUAGAGUGUGGAAGAGGGAAGCGGAAUUUCCGGUGUAGCGGUGAAAUGCGUAGAUAUCGGAAGGAACACCAGUGGCGAAGGCGGCUUCCUGGUCCAACACUGACGCUGAGGCGCGAGAGCGUGGGUAGCGAACAGG
This 253-nucleotide ribosomal RNA is filed under the name uncultured bacterium. Its description in RNAcentral is "partial 16S ribosomal RNA". It matches the Rfam family "Bacterial small subunit ribosomal RNA", at positions 524 to 776 of the family's 1533-position model. The record is from RNAcentral.